GCUUUCACAAAAUUAUUAAGAAGCGCAACUGUUUUCAACAUUAAUAAUAAUAAGAAGAGAUAUUUCUUGAUCACCAAAUUAGGAUUAGAUCAUGUGACACUGAAGACUGGAGUAACGACUGCUAAAAAUCUGCUUUUCCAUCCCAGGAAUAAAUGACAUUUUACAAUUUAAAUUAAAUUUCAUAAUAUUACUGAACUUUUUUACUUUUGAAAAUUUGUGUGUGUGUGUACACACAGUUAAACUAAAUGGCUACUUAUUUGAUACAUGUGUGAUAUGCAAGAUAUGAUUUGGUCAUGUGAGUGAUGGUGAAAAUUCAAUAGAUAAAGCUAAAAAGCUUGGAACAACCUUUGUUCUCAGUUUGUUCAUUCAUUCACCAGUGUGAAUGCUAGACUAUCAAUAUUUACAGUUAUUAUAUUAUAGAAUUGUUUGUGUUUGUAUCUGACAGUGUUUGCUCAUAUUGAGAGAAAACAGAAAAUGGGAGAAGCAAAAGUUUUCCAAAGCAAAAACACAUACUUGAAACUUAUUUAAACAUUUUUAUCCAAAAUAAUUCCUUGCUACAUAAUAUUUUAUUAUUAUUUGUAUAUUUUUUUAAUUUCUGUAGCCUGUCACAGUACUAACAAAACAGUAGACCGUAAAAAUUAUAAAUAAUAUCUAUUUUUUUUCCUUCACUCUUGGUUGAAGUAAGCAAUAAAAUGUGCUGAUAAAAUGGAGAAAUUAGGAUUUUGUCCCUUGAGGAGUCUGUGGGAGAAAAAUUUAUAUAAGUUAUGAUUUCUGGGAAAAUACUCAUUUUAUAUCUUUACCUUAGAGGAAUGGCAUUUUGAGUCUAUUCAAUUUUAUAGCUAACAUGCACAUAGUGUGAAAGAUUUAAUCUCUUUUGGAAGACUGAGGAUCUCAGAUCACACUUUUGACCCCACAGAGAAUGAUCUCUGUUCUCGACAGUCCAGGGCUGGACUUGGCACAUAUGGAAGCUAGCAGCUACUUUUCUGCUAAUGCUCUUUCUCUUGUUUAUUUCUCUCCAUGGCAUGAUGUUACACAGAUAAGUGGUCUCCAGCCUUGCAGAUCCGCACAGUGCUGCUAUCAAUCCAGGCAUUACUAAGCGCUCCCAACCCUGAUGAUCCUCUAGCAAACGACGUCGCAGAGCAGUGGAAGUCUAACGAAGCUCAAGCCAUAGAGACAGCCCGAACAUGGACCAGGCUUUAUGCCGGAAACAAUAUUGAAGUCUAGAAAUCUAUGUGGGGAGACAAAAAGAAAAAAAAAAAAAAAAAAAAAAAGGAAGUGAAGAGUGAAAACAACUCCAUGUUCUGCCAAGACCUAUUCAUUUUCAUGUAAAGGACACAGUCUUAGGAAACAAAAAAUUAUGAUAAACUGUAAAGAUAUAUUAAGACAAAAGUAAAAAAGAAAACUUCAGGCAAUUUGUGAUUUAAAUGCACAUUAGUACGAAAAAAUGUCUUUGUCCUGAUUCACUGCAGUUGAGAUGCAUGGGCAGAUGAUCUACUCGUACGGCUUUCUUUCACAGUGGUUUGAGGUAGCCGCGGACCUCUGCUAUGAAGCGUGCAUUAAAACUUACUCUCAUUUGUUUGUCCAUUUUUUUUUUUUUUUUUUUUUUUUUUUGUGGGAAGGGGGUAACUUUUUAUAUUUCUUUUAACAUAUUUUCUUCUCAUUGCUUUUUUUUUUUUUAAUUAAUGAGGAGCAGCAGACUAGCCCCCAUUUAGAGCACCCUUUCUGUCAGACUGCAGACUUACCUUGAUAGAAAACCUAGCAAAAAAGUGUAAGUUCACUAAAAACGGAAAAGAGACGCCAGAUUUUAAACCACAUGCAAACAGUAAUUUCUCCAGGGAAAUGGUUCAACUGGAAAGUCCUUCCACCAUCACAGAAACAGUUAAAGAUGUAAAACAUAAUGUAGCCUUAAUUUAUGUUUUGGACUACGGGCAAGGUAGAGCUAGAGUGAAGAGAGAUUUUGCGUAAUAUUUGUUUUAGUAUAACAAUUCUGUAAAUGUAUCCGGUUUUAGUGUUUUGUUUUAUCUAUCUUGGCAUCGCUGUACUAAUUGCACUCUUGAAACUCCAUCAUUGCGUGCUUUUUAUUUUCUUGUGUCCAUCACAGUCCAGUGCAUUGAGAUUCAUUUGUCUGUUUCUUCCCUUAAGCAUUUAUUUUGAAACGCCAUGGUUGCAGGGGGGGGGUCUGGAGUCGAAUGAUGAAUUGUGAGAUUUUAGUAAAGGGGUGAGGGGUGGGAAUGUUUGCAGAAACAUUGCGAAAGAUCAAUAAAGGCUUUGUCUCAAUUCCCAUGAUUGGUCUUUUGUUAAAGUCAAUUUCAACUGUGUUUGUAAGUUCCUGCUUUCUAUGGAAAGGGGGAAAAGAUCCUGCUUUUUAAAAUGUGAUGACAACAGGCCACACACAUAUUUCUGUUCUUUCUGUAAAUAAAAUCUGUUGAUUAAUAAGAAA
Long non-coding RNA from Cyprinus carpio (common carp), 2440 nucleotides. RefSeq lists it as uncharacterized. Lineage: Eukaryota; Metazoa; Chordata; Actinopteri; Cypriniformes; Cyprinidae. The transcript has 2 exons. The record is from RefSeq and is a predicted model, not a curated record.